RNAcentral lists this ribosomal RNA (451 nucleotides) under uncultured organism. RNAcentral describes it as "partial 16S ribosomal RNA". It matches the Rfam family "Bacterial small subunit ribosomal RNA", at positions 330 to 797 of the family's 1533-position model. The record is from RNAcentral.
CGUACACUCCUGCGGGAGGCAGCAGUGGGGAAUAUUGGACAAUGGGCGCAAGCCUGAUCCAGCCAUGCCGCGUGAGUGAUGAAGGCCCUAGGGUUGUAAAGCUCUUUCACCGGUGAAGAUAAUGACGGUAACCGGAGAAGAAGCCCCGGCUAACUUCGUGCCAGCAGCCGCGGUAAUACGAAGGGGGCUAGCGUUGUUCGGAUUUACUGGGCGUAAAGCGCACGUAGGCGGACUAUUAAGUCAGGGGUGAAAUCCCGGGGCUCAACCCCGGAACUGCCUUUGAUACUGGUAGUCUUGAGUUCGAGAGAGGUGAGUGGAAUUCCGAGUGUAGAGGUGAAAUUCGUAGAUAUUCGGAGGAACACCAGUGGCGAAGGCGGCUCACUGGCUCGAUACUGACGCUGAGGUGCGAAAGCGUGGGGAGCAAACAGGAUUAGAAACCCCUGUAGUCCCA